RNAcentral lists this transfer RNA (73 nucleotides) under Neurospora sublineolata FGSC 5508. RNAcentral's name for it is "tRNA-Tyr (GTA) (tRNA-Tyr-GTA-3-1)". The stretch from base 4 to 68 matches the Rfam family "tRNA". From Rfam's summary of the family: Transfer RNA (tRNA) molecules are approximately 80 nucleotides in length. Lineage: Eukaryota; Fungi; Ascomycota; Sordariomycetes; Sordariales; Sordariaceae. The record is from RNAcentral.
GCGCGGUUAGUUCAAUGGUCAGAAUAUCGCUCCGUAAGGGCGAAGACACGGGUUCGAUUCCCGGACCGUCGCC